RNAcentral lists this ribosomal RNA (253 nucleotides) under uncultured bacterium. RNAcentral describes it as "partial 16S ribosomal RNA". It matches the Rfam family "Bacterial small subunit ribosomal RNA", at positions 524 to 776 of the family's 1533-position model. The record is from RNAcentral.
UACGGAGGGAGCUAGCGUUGUUCGGAAUUACUGGGCGUAAAGCGCACGUAGGCGGCUUUGUAAGUUAGAGGUGAAAGCCCGGGGCUCAACUCCGGAACUGCCUUUAAGACUGCAUCGCUUGAAUCCAGGAGAGGUGAGUGGAAUUCCGAGUGUAGAGGUGAAAUUCGUAGAUAUUCGGAAGAACACCAGUGGCGAAGGCGGCUCACUGGACUGGUAUCGACGCUGAGGUGCGAAAGCGUGGGGAGCAAACAGG